GGGGGAUCGCGCCGGACGGCGAGGUGAGCAAUUGGAAAGCGUGUUGGGGGCAACCCCUCACGAGUUCGAAUCUCGUAUCCUCCGCCA
This 87-nucleotide transfer RNA is filed under the name Yinghuangia soli. Its description in RNAcentral is "tRNA-OTHER". Lineage: Bacteria; Bacillati; Actinomycetota; Actinomycetes; Kitasatosporales; Streptomycetaceae. The record is from RNAcentral.